Molecule: long non-coding RNA, 4477 nt
Filed under: Monodon monoceros (narwhal)
Lineage: Eukaryota; Metazoa; Chordata; Mammalia; Artiodactyla; Monodontidae
Description: lncRNA (ENSMMNG00015010696.1)
Source: RNAcentral
CCAAGAACCAAGUGAGCCAAGAAUAGAGCAGUGCUUUAAAACUCCUGGCAAAGCAGCAACAGGAUGAAGAGUUGGUUUUGCAUAGUUCUGAACACAGGAGUAAAGAAGCAGAGGCACCUCUUCCCAAAAGGCGCCGGAAUCCUACGGCAUCAACGGAUCCGUCGCGGGGCGGGGGUGCGGGGGGUAUUUCUCAAAGUCUCCCAGGGCACUCACCCCUCCCUACCCCGCCCCACUACUCCGUCCACCCUUCCUCCCUCCACCUCCAGGACCCGCCCACCCCCCGGGGGUGUGCAGCACUUCUUAAGCUCUAGCCCCCAGGGGCCACCUCUGCAGCCCGGACUCUUCCUGGAGCUUGGCAAGUUCUGGGACUGAAAGCCAGGCUUGCACGGCCACCAGGGGCCACUCGUGCCUGGAGGUCGGGGGGUGGGGUGUACGUGGGGGAACUAGAGCUUUAAAGGCCACCCACUUCCUUCGAGGGGAUGAGGAACGCAUCUUCCUCACAGUGCUUCUCAGGGGUCAGCCCGCUCUUCACUCGACGGUGAUCAAUACUCACUCGACGCGGCUCGGACCACCUCCUGUGCCCCUGGACUCCGCCCUAAGGGUCCUCUGGCGUCUGUGACGGCGCGGGUCCCGGCCUCUUCAGUCGGCUCAGGCCAGCGCUUCACGGGUCCCUGCAGUCCCCUCCCCCGUCCCCUCCCCCCCGGCACUUUCUCUAACCGAGGAAGGAGCGGAGAGGAACUUGGCUGAAUCAAGGGAACUGCGAGCCUAUGGAUGAGUUUUAAACCCGAGAGCCAAUUAAAUAUUAUUGGAACCUACUGUAAGGGCGGGGAAGGGGAGGUCAGGAGGCGGAGAGGCUGAGUCCCACGGCGGCGGGUCCAGCCCCGGAACCCAGCACAGCCCUCCUUCGGCCCUUCCCCGCCGUCAGGACGAGGGGCGCUGCCACCCCAGCCGGGACCCUGCGCCUCCCCGCCCCCGAUUCUCCUCAGGACGCGCAAGUCGGCCCCUCCCCACCCACGCCGGGCCGAGCAAGCCGAGCGGAGGGCAGGGGCGAGACGAAGGGCCCAAGUUCCCCGGACUAAGACGCCGCGCGCAGCUCUUGCUACACAUCAGCUGCGGCUCUGGGAAAACGCCUGCGCCUCAAAGCGGGAAUAUCUGGAAGGCGGUGGGAGCGAUGCUUCACACAUUGUAGGAAACGUCUUGGAUGGAUGCCCAACUGCCACCAAAACCGGUGAGGGUAUCUCUCACCUCUGCAUCUUCGGUGUCUACAAGAGCGCCUGGCACAUGGCCUCUCACUGUUGCUGCCUCUCCCGUUGCGAAGCACAGGCUCCGGAUGCACGGGCUCCGCGGCCAUGGCUCACGGGCGCUCCGCGGCAUGUGGGAUCUUUCCGGACCGGGGCACGAACCCAUGUCCCCUGCAUCGGCAGGCGGACUCUCAACCACUGUGCCACCAGGGAAGCCCCCCUUCCUGUAUUUUUAUUAGCCACAUUGAAAGGAAAAUGAUCAGGUGAUUGUAUAGAAUUUUAAAGUGAACAAUGUGCCUUUAAAAUUGCUUAAUAAACAAGUGGUUAAAAUAUCAUCAGAGAUGUUACCGGAAUUCAGUUAGGAUGGUAUGUGUCACAUCUGAUGGACAAUGGAAUGGUAAAUAACAAAUCAAAUAAGUAAAUGCUCACAUAGAAAAAUACAACAUAGCAUUUUAUGAAUAAGAGCUUAUUGCCAUAAUAAGAUAUAUAAAAUUGACUUCAUGGAUAUAAAUAGCAAAAGAAAAACCCCAAAGCAAAACUUUUUUUUAAUCAAUUUUCUCUCCAGACCAAAAAAAAAAAAAAAAGCCUAAGAAGUAAAAUAAAAUUAGGAAUUUACCUACUGGUCUGUGUCCUUCCAAUGGACACAAAAAUUUUAACAUGCAUUUGGUUGUAGCAGGCUGUUGACCUGUUUAACUAAGGGGAGGUGUUUGAUUUUGUUCAUGUAACCUGAUGUGAAUACAGAAGGGCUAGAGCUCUUGAACCUGAAGAUAUUUCAAACUAGGAAGUAGCAACAAAUCUUCAGGUUACUCGUGCUUGUUAGAUUGAAUUGCUGUGGUACACGGAGCUCAUUGGAAGAGCAGUUGGCUAGUUGUCCCCUUUAGACAGUUUGUACCAAGUGGGUGGACAUCCUGGAAAUAUUCAAAAGUAUCCUAGAAUCUCAGGGUCGCAGAGUACCUUCCAUACCAAUGAGUAGCCCAUAUGUACUUACAAAUGGGCUGUUCAGUGAACAAAUUGUUUGCUUAAUUAUUGUAUCAAAGCAUAAUCUAAACAGUGAUAUAGGCAUUUGGCCAAGUAAUUCAUGGUGUUUAGUAAUUUAUCUAUGGGAGACUUGGCCCUGGAAAAUAGCCCCCUCUAACCUACCUGAUUUUAGGAAUUUAGGUACAUAACAAGACCAUGUGAUUAUGCACUGGGUUGACUUUACUGUUCUGUCACCCCACCACUUACAUAUGCCCUAAUUUUUGUUGCACAUGUGGGCUUAGGGAUUUUACAAAUAGAAGAGCCACUGAAGUAUUUUCUCAGUUCCUUAUAUUACACAUAUAGUGGUUAGAAACAGAACAAAUGUGACCAUUUGCUGGUAACAGUGCUAGAUGAUUGGGAAAAAAAAAAGAUGACCCCUAAUCUCUCCUAAUUAUACACAUUUAUCUAUACAACUUAGAUAAAUGAAAUAUUAAUAUUCCAUAUGCAUCAUAUGAAACCCAUCAUUCUUCCCUUACUGUUAACUCCCUGGAUAGGUUAUAUUUCCUGAUGCCCAUUGUUUGGCUUCUUUCCUCUCUGGUUUCCACUUUUUUAUUUAGUUGAUGUUCAAGAGCCUACUGAAACAGACAUACAAGAACUGAAUGGAAUUUCUCAGGCAGGAAUUUCUUAUGUAAAGUGGCCUCUCACUGAACUAUGGUUUUGCUCAUCCACCAGACUUACAGAGUGCAGCUGACUCUGUGAAAAGGCUCUGUCAAUGGAACCAACCCCAGUGCCAAUGCAGGGGCUCAUUCAUUUACUGAGAGCACCCACUGAGAGGAGAUCCUUUUCCCAACACAGUUUAAUAAGACAUGAUAUUCAAACCUGAGUACUCAAGACAGCUUUUAAAAGAAUAAAACAUCCUCUGAGAGAUCCAAAGACCCAAUGUAAAAACACUCAUAUUUUAUUCUACAAAAAGAUGUUUCAAUUGUAAAUGAUCACUGCAAAAGCAAUGGUUUAUAAGAGGGAGUGGUUUCUGCAACUGGGCCUUCUAUAUGGAAAUGAUGAAUAUUUGGUUACCCUUUGAGCCCCUCCUAUGGUUAUUAUUUCCCCUCCUGGAGUUUAGGAACUUUUAUUAUUUUCUAUUCCCAUUUUCCAAAGAAUUGCAGAUGUGCUUGGUAGGAUAGAUACCUGAGGGAAGUGCAUAGGCUUAGAACAAAAACAGCCUUUAUGCUAUUAGUACAUGGGGAAAUUAAAAGUUACCCCCCAUAAAAGAAUUUAUUGUGCUAAAACUAUAUGAGAAACUCUGAGUGGAACUUUGGUUACCAGGGAAGAGACAAGUCGCUUCUUGGGGAAGGGGUGACAUCACCAAGAAUGUAGUGAGAAUAAGAGAAGAUAAAUGAUGGCUGAUCUAGGAAUCUGCAGUUGGGAGUGACAUGAAUAAGCCCAACUUCCAAACUCUCUCCUGCUCAGGAGUGAUAUCAGUGUAUUGCUCACUUAGUGUAGCUCUAGGGACCAUGGAACAGGGUAACAUUUUGGAGAAAGGGAAUCAAAAGUCUCUAUCCUAUUGAAGAUGCCAAAAGGAGGAUUUAAAAUGUGUUCCAUUUGACUAUAUUUUCAAACGCACUUUCUCAAAAACAAAAGCAGGACACCUUCUUCAGAAAUCAUUUACACACAUAUAUUGCAAAAGGUAACAAAAUAUAUAUUUUGUUACCAAAAAAAAAAAAGAUAAUAUACAGGAAUGCCUGUAUAUGAAGAGGAAGUAGUUAGAAAGAUACAUAUAAAAAUGUUAACAGUGGUUACCUUUGGGGAGCGGGAAUGGGGCUGGGGACUAGUGUGGGAGUGAGUACUUGCUUCUCACUUUAUAUAUUCCAUAUUUGAAAAAAAAUGUUCACCUGAAGUGGGUAUCCUUUUUUUUAAUUUGGGGGUUUUUUUGUUUGCUUUUUUUCUUGUGCUUGAGACUUAAAAAUUGAAGUAUAGUUGAUGUAUUUCAAUAUAAAAGGUAUCAUUUUUAUAAUAAUUAAACUUCUAAAAAUAUUUCUUUGUGUACCUGAUCUGUGUAAGAACAGAAGGCAGAAGAGGUGUUAGAACAAUGUAAGAGUGACAUCAUAGUGUCCAAAUGUGUUUGGAUGCAGAAUGUCAUUGAUAAUCAUGUUUGACUAAUAAAUACUGGUAUUAAGAUGACUUCUGAUUUGUAAGCUCUUAAUUACAGAUACUAAAAAGGGGUGAUAACUAAUUGUCAAAAAUCAGAAGCAACCAAGAUGUCCCUCGAUAGGUGAAUGGAU